This 24-nucleotide microRNA is filed under the name Medicago truncatula (barrel medic). The record is from RNAcentral. Lineage: Eukaryota; Viridiplantae; Streptophyta; Magnoliopsida; Fabales; Fabaceae.
AGGCAUUUGCUAGGAUACACCCAC